UACGUAGGGUGCGAGCGUUAAUCGGAAUUACUGGGCGUAAAGCGUGCGUAGGCGGUUUUAUAAGCCAGAUGUGAAAGCCCCGGGCUCAACCUGGGAAUGGCAUUUGGGACUGUAAGGCUGGAGUAUGGCAGAGGAGACUAGAAUUCCUGGUGUAGCAGUGAAAUGCGUAGAUAUCAGGAGGAAUACCGAUGGCGAAGGCAGGUCUCUGGGCCAAUACUGACGCUCAUGCACGAAAGCGUGGGGAGCAAACAGG
Molecule: ribosomal RNA, 253 nt
Filed under: uncultured bacterium
Lineage: Bacteria
Description: partial 16S ribosomal RNA
Rfam family: Bacterial small subunit ribosomal RNA
Source: RNAcentral